Molecule: ribosomal RNA, 246 nt
Filed under: uncultured bacterium
Lineage: Bacteria
Description: partial 16S ribosomal RNA
Rfam family: Bacterial small subunit ribosomal RNA
Source: RNAcentral
GCAAGUCGAGCGGAAACGAGAAGUAGCUUGCUACUUCGGCGUCGAGCGGCGGACGGGUGAGUAAUGCCUAGGAAAUUGCCUUGAGGUGGGGGACAACAGUUGGAAACGACUGCUAAUACCGCAUAACGUCUACGGACCAAAGGGGGCUUCGGCUCUCGCCUUUAGAUUGGCCCAAGUGGGAUUAGCUAGUUGGUGAGGUAAUGGCUCACCAAGGCAACGAUCCCUAGCUGGUUUGAGAGGAUGAUC